CCCCCGGGACCCUCAGGGACCCCCUGGGACACCCAGGGACCCCCAAUGAUCCUCCCCGGGACCCCCCCUGGAACCCCAGGACUCCACAGGGACCCCCAGUGACCCCUGCACUGUCCCCAGAGUUGUGUCCGUGUGUCUCACCUGUCUCACCUGUCCCUGUUCCACCUCUGUGUGUGUGUCCUGUGUGUCUGUGUGUCCUGUGUGUGUUCCUGUGUGUCUCACCUGGCUCUGUUCCACCUCUGUGUGUGUGUCCUGUGUGUGUCUGUGUGUCCGUGUGUCUGUGUGUCUCACCUGGCCCUGUUCCACCUGUCUGUGUGUCCAUGUGUCUGUGUGUCCGUGUGUCUCACCUGGCCCUGUUCCACCUGGGUGUCCAUAUCUCACCUGUGUCCGUGUGUCUGUCUGUGUGUCUGUCUGUGU
RNAcentral lists this long non-coding RNA (417 nucleotides) under Parus major (Great Tit). Its description in RNAcentral is "lncRNA (ENSPMJG00000002464.1)". Lineage: Eukaryota; Metazoa; Chordata; Aves; Passeriformes; Paridae. The record is from RNAcentral.